Molecule: long non-coding RNA, 208 nt
Filed under: Prunus persica (peach)
Lineage: Eukaryota; Viridiplantae; Streptophyta; Magnoliopsida; Rosales; Rosaceae
Description: long non-coding RNA (PPER_LNC008705)
Source: RNAcentral
AAAGUGCUAAUGACUUCAUAAUGAGAUGGAGGAGCCUCAAUCUUCAAUGGCCGGAGAAAAUUACCGAGCAAUCAGCCGUGCAAAUGUGCUACAACAACCUCAUACCAGAUAUUGCGACUUUUGUUGCCACUGCUGAACCCCAAUCAUUUGAUGCCUUGGUGUCAAAGGCGAGCAAUGUUGAAAGACAAAUUGCUCGUCAAAAGUCCGC